CGAAGCAACGCGAAGAACCUUACCAGGUCUUGACAUCCUCUGACAAUCCUAGAGAUAGGACGUCCCCUUCGGGGGCAGAGUGACAGGUGGUGCAUGGUUGUCGUCAGCUCGUGUCGUGAGAUGUUGGGUUAAGUCCCGCAACGAGCGCAACCCUUGAUCUUAGUUGCCAGCAUUCAGUUGGGCACUCUAAGGUGACUGCCGGUGACAAACCGGAGGAAGGUGGGGAUGACGUCAAAUCAUCAUGCCCCUUAUGACCUGGGCUACACACGUGCUACAAUGGACAGAACAAAGGGCAGCAAAACCGCGAGGUUAAGCCAAUCCCACAAAUCUGUUCUCAGUUCGGAUCGCAGUCUGCAACUCGACUGCGUGAAGCUGGAAUCGCUAGUAAUCGCGGAUCAGCAUGCCGCGGUGAAUACGUUCCCGGGCCUUGUACACACCGCCCGUCACACCACGAGAGUUUGUAACACCCGAAGUCGGUGAGGUAACCUUUAUGGAGCCAGCCGCCGAAGGUGGGACAGAUGAUUGGGGUGAAGUCGUAACAAGGUAGCCGUAUCGGAAGGUGCGGCUGG
RNAcentral lists this ribosomal RNA (569 nucleotides) under Bacillus sp. CC15. Its description in RNAcentral is "bacterial SSU rRNA". It matches the Rfam family "Bacterial small subunit ribosomal RNA", at positions 952 to 1521 of the family's 1533-position model. The record is from RNAcentral. Lineage: Bacteria; Bacillati; Bacillota; Bacilli; Caryophanales; Bacillaceae.